GAUGAACGCUAGCUACAGGCUUAACACAUGCAAGUCGAGGGGCAGCGGGAUUGAAGCUUUGCUUCAAUUGCCGGCGACCGGCGCACGGGUGAGUAACACGUAUUCCAACCGUGCCGUCUACUCUUGGACAGCCUUCCUGAAAGGAAGAUUAAUACAAGAUGGCAUCAUGAGUCCACAUGUUCACAUGAUUAAAGGUAUUCCGGUAGACGAUGGGGAUGCGUUCCAUUAGAUAGUAGGCGGGGUAACGGCCCACCUAGUCUUCGAUGGAUAGGGGUUCUGAGAGGAAGGUCCCCCACAUUGGAACUGAGACACGGUCCAA
RNAcentral lists this ribosomal RNA (319 nucleotides) under uncultured bacterium. Its description in RNAcentral is "bacterial SSU rRNA". It matches the Rfam family "Bacterial small subunit ribosomal RNA", at positions 28 to 334 of the family's 1533-position model. The record is from RNAcentral.